Molecule: ribosomal RNA, 253 nt
Filed under: uncultured microorganism
Description: partial small subunit ribosomal RNA
Rfam family: Bacterial small subunit ribosomal RNA
Source: RNAcentral
GACGAACCGAGCGAACGUUGUUCGGAAUCACUGGGCUUAAAGGGCGCGUAGGCGGGCUGUCAAGUCUGGGGUGAAAUCCCGCGGCUCAACCGUGGAACUGCCUCAGAUACUGACGGCCUCGAGGGAGGUAGGGGCGAGCGGAACUGUGAGUGGAGCGGUGAAAUGCGUUGAUAUUCACAGGAACUCCGGUGGCGAAGGCGGCUCGCUGGACCUCUUCUGACGCUGAGGCGCGAAAGCCAGGGGAGCAAACGGG